UCUGUGAUGAUUCAAAGGAUGGAAGGAGACAGAGAGUAAUAUAAUUUUGUCCUCUCAUCUCUUCUUUGGCUCCGGUUGACAGCUGAAAACUUGAGGAUAAAAAUAACUUCACCAAGACAUCACACAAUACAGAGCGAGAGGAUGGAUGGAUGGAACAUACACACGGUUGAAGAGCAGAUGAGUCCUCAGGCCAUGAUGUAUGGCAUUUGAUGCAUCUCCUCCUAACCUGCCUACAAUGGGGGAACACAUGUUUGUAUAGAUGUUGUGUGUUUAUGAUCAUUAAGACUGAAUCAAAGGUGUUUAAGUGGGAUGACUCACUGAGUGACUCUUUAGAUCUUCAGAAAUUGCAGGCUCACAGUUGUCGCUAUACCUAAACCACUGGAAAACAAUGUAGCCAUAUCGAGUAAAUGUCAUCGUGCCCUGCGAGACACGGGGAGGAGGGGUAGCUGUGCACUUCGCUGCUCUCCCUGGAGGGAAUAAGGGCAGAGCGUUUCAGUGCUUUAUGUCUGAGAUGAAGCUGAGAGGACGGCACAAGACCCCACCUGAAGUAAAAACACGGGACGUUUGACUUAAAAGGUGAACUGAGGAACCAAAACAUGAACCACUGCUUAUUUGUGGUGAAGUAAAGCUGCUACUCUCACUGUGACAUGCAUUUAAGAAGAAUCAAAUCAGUUUCACCCAGACACAAUAACGCUGUUACAGCUGCAGCUGACUUUCACUAUCAGGUCAUCUGUCUCUUAUAAUAAUAAAGACUUCAUUUACAAAGCA
Notolabrus celidotus (New Zealand spotty) is the source of this 768-nucleotide long non-coding RNA. RefSeq lists it as uncharacterized. The record is from RefSeq and is a predicted model, not a curated record. Lineage: Eukaryota; Metazoa; Chordata; Actinopteri; Labriformes; Labridae. The transcript is spliced from 3 exons.